This 100-nucleotide ribosomal RNA is filed under the name Blastodinium spinulosum. Its description in RNAcentral is "partial 18S ribosomal RNA". It matches the Rfam family "Eukaryotic small subunit ribosomal RNA", at positions 1732 to 1831 of the family's 1831-position model. Lineage: Eukaryota; Dinophyceae; Blastodiniales. The record is from RNAcentral.
UGUCUUCUCGCUGCAACGGAAAGUUUAUUGAACCUUAUCACUUAGAGGAAGGAGAAGUCGUAACAAGGUUUCCGUAGGUGAACCUGCGGAAGGAUCAUUC